GGGCGAGGUCGCUCUGCCCCGUGAAAUUAAAAAAUAAAUAAAUACAUAAUUACAAAAGGGAAAGGCAGCAAAUCAUUCACAGACGCAUGUACCAACCCUAAUCUUUUCCAAUUUCCACUUCCAUUUGGACCAUUUCCUCUCGUCUCUGCCUCUCAUAGUCAGUCUUACUCUCACGCCCGUCAGCCGCCUCCUCUCUCUCACUCGUUGUGUAGCUGUAACUUCGAUAGUUUUUAAUUAAACACUACCAUAGUUUUUCACCUAGAUCUCCAUACGCUGUGUCAUCGUCGAGUUUAUUUUUGCCUACAGGUCAUAUGGUCCACAUCUUCCUUUAUUGCCAACACCCGCCAAUUCCAAGCCCAAGGUGAAAGAAUAUCUAAAGAAUUUCAUCACAUCUAAAAGUUAAGAUUGAUUAGUAUUUUUUAUUUCUAUAUUUUUACUUAGCAUUUUCAAUGGUAAACCUGUAAUUUGCACAUACACAUGAAUCAGGGGAGAUUAUAGUGAAAAAUGACUAGCGUAUUACAUAGUGAAAAAGGGAUGAAGAUCAGCACUUGUUAAUUAGUGUUUUGUUCUCUUUAUGAAUGGUAGUGACAGUGAAGGGAAAUUGUAAUUGCUUCUGUACUAGUUUGUUUAUGUUUUGAAUUUGGUUGACUUUGAUUCCCUUAAAUAAUUUUGUGUUUCACUUUUUGUAGUUUUUUCAGUGGUUUCUGAACAGUCAUUUAUGAUAUCUAUUGUUGAAUUUCUGUAUAGAUCACAUUAUUUAGGUUUAAUAUAAUUCAUCUUUAUCAAUCCUCUUUUCCCGAGUUAUGGAAAAUCUAGUUUCAUUUGGCUGAUUUUACAGGCUUCAUCUUUGAUAAGAUACAUUAUAUGCUGUAAAAAGAGAAAGUUAAAGGAAUUUCAGUUAUUUAGAAUCUUACUUGUCUAGGUCCAUCUAUGGGUGAAAAACUAACAGUAGGCUUAUGUAUGGUAGUGUUUAAUUGACAAGGUAUUAUAUAUUUGCAUUAAUGUGGAAAUGAGAAAAAGGAAAAAUUCACUCUCUUGCAAACUUCGCCAAUUCAGUCAUGGGCUUCAUUUUUGUUUAUUAUAUGUACAUAAAUAUGAUUUUCAUGUCAAAGUAGAAAAUUCAUUGUGUUUAAUGUCGUUUGUUAUUUGCACAGAUGUAUGGCCCAAGUAGUGCUGGAAGUAUUGGAUUAGGACCAAUACGCGAGGAAGAUAGCACGACCGAUAUAACGGAGAGUAAUGUCCUGCAAGAAUAUCUAGCUGAACCGUUAUCAAAUGCAGAUAAAAGGACAAUAAAUCUAAGCGACGAGUAGCGUGACAUUAGAGAACUAUCAUUUGGAAAGAGGAAAUUGACUUCAAUUGUGUAGGAGCACUACAAAAGACAGAAAAGUGGUAAGAAAAUGAAGGCUAUAUGCAAUCAUUGCAAGAAACGGUUAGAGGGUGAAACAAAAAGUGGUACAAUGUAUUUGCAUGAUCGUUUGAAGAGAUGUGUAUUCCGUUAUAAGGAUAAUACUCACCAAGCAACAUUAAAUUUCAAAAAGGAUGACAUGAGUGGCAUGGUCACAGUAGGUCUUACUCUUUCGAUCCAGGUAAGUGUAGAUAUAGUCUUUUGAAAAUGGUGAUUUUGCAUGAGUAUCCUUUAUCUAUGGUUGAUCACAUUGGAUUUCGAGAGAUCUUGCACGUCCUACAACCAUUGUUUCUCUCAACACUUUGAAUAGUGACAUUUUGAAAAUCUAUGAAUACGAGAGAGUCAAAAAUAUGAUGAGCUUGAGAAGAUUGAGAGUUAAAUUUCAAUCACUACCGACAUGUGGACCUUUUCUAAUCAAAAGAAAGGAUUCAUGGCUAUCAUUGCUCAUUUCAUAAAUGAUGCGUGGAACCUACAGAGUCGAAUCAUGAGGUGUAAUAAAACAUUGCAUUCACUUGUUUUCAUAAUUUACCAAAAUGAUAUUCUUUUAGUUGAUUUAAUUUGUUAUUGAAUGAACUCAGAUUUAUAUAUGUGCUGUGC
This 2002-nucleotide long non-coding RNA is filed under the name Olea europaea subsp. europaea. Lineage: Eukaryota; Viridiplantae; Streptophyta; Magnoliopsida; Lamiales; Oleaceae. The record is from RNAcentral.